RNAcentral lists this ribosomal RNA (773 nucleotides) under uncultured bacterium. RNAcentral describes it as "bacterial SSU rRNA". It matches the Rfam family "Bacterial small subunit ribosomal RNA", at positions 11 to 794 of the family's 1533-position model. The record is from RNAcentral.
GUUUGAUCCUGGCUCAGGACGAACGCUGGUGGCGGGCCUAACACAUGCAAGUCGAACGAGGCUUUCCGGUGCUUGCACUGGAAAAUCGAGUGGCGAACGGGUGAGUAAUACAUGAGAAACCUGCCUUGGAGACGGGGACAACCUCGGGAAACUGAGGCUAAUACCCGAUAUCCCUGCCGAGUCGCAUGACUUGGCAAGAAAAUACUCAGGUGCUCCAAGAGGGUCUCAUGCCCUAUCAGCUUGUUGGUGAGGUAAAAGCUCACCAAGGCUUAGACGGGUAGCUGGUCUGAGAGGACGAUCAGCCACACUGGGACUGAGACACGGCCCAGACUCCUACGGGAGGCAGCAGUGGGGAAUCUUGCGCAAUGGGCGAAAGCCUGACGCAGCCACGCCACGUGUGGGACGACGGCCCUCGGGUUGUAAACCACUUUCAGCAGGGACGAAAAUGACGGUACCUGCAGAAGAAGCCCCGGCCAACUACGUGCCAGCAGCCGCGGUAACACGUAGGGGGCGAGCGUUGUCCGGAAUUACUGGGCGUAAAGGGCUCGUAGGCGGUUUGGUAAGUCAGAUGUGAAAACUCCAGGCUCAACUUGGAGACGCCAUCUGAUACUGCCAUGACUAGAGUUUGGUAGAGGAGUGCAGAAUUCCCGGUGUAGCGGUGAAAUGCGCAGAUAUCGGGAGGAAUACCAGUCAGCGAAGGCGGCACUCUNGGCCACAACUGACGCUGAGGAGCGAAAGCGUGGGGAGCGAACAGGAUUAGAUACCCUGGUAGU